UGCUCAGUUGGUAGAGCAAUGGACUGAAAAUCCAUGUGUCGGCGGUUCUGCCAAAGGCAUACCUAUGGGAAAUUCCGUUUCUGCCCA
RNAcentral lists this transfer RNA (87 nucleotides) under Chlorobiota bacterium. RNAcentral's name for it is "tRNA-Phe". It matches the Rfam family "tRNA", at positions 9 to 71 of the family's 71-position model. From Rfam's summary of the family: Transfer RNA (tRNA) molecules are approximately 80 nucleotides in length. Their secondary structure includes four short double-helical elements and three loops (D, anti-codon, and T loops). Further hydrogen bonds mediate the characteristic L-shaped molecular structure. tRNAs have two regions of fundamental functional importance: the anti-codon, which is responsible for specific mRNA codon recognition, and the 3' end, to which the tRNAs corresponding amino acid is attached (by aminoacyl-tRNA synthetases). tRNAs cope with the degeneracy of the genetic code in two manners: having more than one tRNA (with a specific anti-codon) for a particular amino acid; and 'wobble' base-pairing, i.e. permitting non-standard base-pairing at the 3rd anti-codon position. The record is from RNAcentral. Lineage: Bacteria; Pseudomonadati; Chlorobiota.